UACGGAGGGUGCAAGCGUUGUCCGGAUUUAUUGGGUUUAAAGGGUGCGUAGGCGGCUUUUUAAGUCAGCGGUGAAAGACAACAGCUUAACUGUUGCAGUGCCAUUGAUACUGAAGAGCUUGAGUACAGAUGAGGUAGGCGGAAUUUAUGGUGUAGCGGUGAAAUGCAUAGAUACCAUAAAGAACACCUAUUGCGAAGGCAGCUUACUAAGCUGUAACUGACGCUGAGGCACGAAAGUGUGGGGAUCAAACAGG
RNAcentral lists this ribosomal RNA (253 nucleotides) under uncultured bacterium. RNAcentral describes it as "partial 16S ribosomal RNA". It matches the Rfam family "Bacterial small subunit ribosomal RNA", at positions 524 to 776 of the family's 1533-position model. The record is from RNAcentral.